This is a long non-coding RNA of Triticum dicoccoides, 2635 nucleotides long. RefSeq lists it as uncharacterized. The transcript is spliced from 3 exons. The record is from RefSeq and is a predicted model, not a curated record. Lineage: Eukaryota; Viridiplantae; Streptophyta; Magnoliopsida; Poales; Poaceae.
CAGAUCCCUCCCCCACCCCUCCUGUCCACUCCUGCAGCCGACGCCCCUCCCUCACCGUCGAUGACCCACGCCGCCGCCGCCGCACACUACCGCGCCCUCCCCUCACCCUGGCCCAAUUCAAUCCAACCCCGCGCGCACACCGCUGCAGCCGCCAUCGACCCCUUCCUCGCAACCAUGGCAUUCGCGCUCCCCCGCCCUCGCCACUGCCUCCUCGACGGUGUUCCCCUCCUUCUCAGCCGCCUUCGCGGCGCCGAGGGGCCGCGCCGCCGUGGCUAGGAGAGUCUCGCUCCGUGGGGCCGCACCCGUGACCUACUACCCCAUGACCUGCUCUCACCUUACAGCACUGGGAGCUGCCAGAUCCGGGAAUCCCCCACCCAUCCAGCCCUCUCCAACCCAUGGCUAGGGUUUCGGUCUCCCUCAAAUUGUUCAACCUCGCCUCACAUACUCCCCCUUCCUCCCAGAUCCACCAGGCCGCACUCCUCCCAUGGCAUCCAUGGCGCGGGUCACCCUACAGCAGCUGAUAUGUGACGAGCGAGGCAGGGAAGAGGUGUUCCUUCUCAUGGUCUACAGUGCAUCUCGCAUUCCAUGACGUCCUUGGCGAGAUGUACGCGACUUCUUCAGCACGUACAACGACACGUGGCAGUGAAGAUCAAAAGCUGCAGCAGUACAACCACGGUUGUGAUAAGAGAAGGACGACCCCUUCCCUUCCUUGCUAGCCAGCUGUUCUGAUUUGAGUUGGUCCAAUCUGAUCCAAUCCUGCCAUGUAGUUUGGUUGUAACAUAGGAGAGGGAUACCUGCAGUUGAGUUUCAGUUUGGACAGCAUUUGACACACAUUAUUGGAGGAUUUGGUUUACUUCAGUUUGUAUGUGCGUUCCUAAAAUUGAAAAUGAAAUUGGUUUGGUGUUAAAUUCCCACAAACCAAUCUGCAACAUUUUUAUUCGACUUGUACUGCAUCAGCAACUUAAAUUUGUCUGUUUUAUUUACCAAAUCUGUAGAGGCUUGAUAGAUAUCAAUUUCACCCUACUGUUAGUUUGCUUGCUCCAGGUCUUGUGGGGUUGGGGAGUGUUGGGUCCCCACUCUGCCGAGCCGCAACAAGCUGGCUGGGGGAGCACUACUGUUUAGUAGUACAUUAUUGCCACCCGUCAGGUUUAUACUAUUGUUUACUAGAUCAAACUUGAUCCAUGCUCCUAUUGGUAUUAGGUGAUCAUGUAGGUCAAGUUAUAUUACAGCUGGAUGCUUAAUUUCUUACUAUCCCUGAUCCAUGCUCCUAUAGAGUUGUUUCUGGCAUACAGGAGGGGAACGGAGAAAUGGCUUGGUUUGUUGACGCUUUUAUUGCUUUACUAAGUACCCGUACAAUUCUUCCAUAAGUGAAAGAAAUUUCUAAAUACAGUUCUUCAACAAGUGUUUUGACAUUCAGUUAAUUUGACAGGUGGCUAUGGAACCUUGGAGGAGUUGCUUAAGUCAUCACGUGGGCACAACUAGGAGUAAACAAGAAGCCGAAAUGCGUGUACAGAGAUUUGCAACCUGAAGGAGCGAUGGAAGUGAAGAUUGAGUGCUUUUCUGUAAGAUUAAUAAUAGAUGGUAUAUUUUUUGGUUCUGAUUUAAGAGUGUUCGAUCUGGUACAUAGUGCAUUUGUUUAGUCUCAAAAUUUCAGUGUUAUUUCUCUAUUUCUCGUAUUAUUCACACUACGUCAUUGGUGAAAGCAUCCUGAAAAGAAUAAUUAAACAAUGGUGUGCUAAAUUAAACUAAAAUGUUUGCUUACUACACCACCACAUUAGCCAUCAAAUUUGUGAUAAGAAAGCUGAAACCUCUUCUUCCUAAAGGAGAGGUCAGGUCCUUGCUUGCGAGAGUCGAUCUAUUUAUCUGCAUUGUGAAGUAACAACAGUUCUUUGGUCCAUGUUAAGAUGUCAAGAAACUGUUUGUUUGUUGAAACAACCAUCAGUCACUCUCAAGAUACUGCUGACUGAUUUCUGUUGCUAGUAUAGUUCAAGCUUCUUUGCCAUGUAUUUCAUUAGGAUGUGAACAAUCUACUGCAUGCUCACAAAGCUAUAGACUUCAAUUUUUUGUUUGUUUGCUGUCAAUAUUUGCCAAGCUAUUUAAACGAUGAUGACAAACUGAAAUCAUGAAUACUCAUAUAGAAACUUGAACAGCCAUCUUGUUUAAUUUGGUGAUGUUCCUCCAUGCUAAGAGCUAAUCUGCUGCAUUGUUAUUCAACUUUCAUUGACAGUUUUAGUUUUGCUGAAAUCAUGUUUUCUUUUCUAUGCUUAUGUCUGUGGACAAACACUACUAGCUCCAGAAGGACGGACAUUACCAUCAAGUACGCCAUCGAGGUGAAUGGAGCUUGUGUUGUUGGUAGAACUCCGUUGAUGACUUCUUCCUAUGUUUAAGAGCAUGUUUUGUGGUAUCCAAGAGUAGCGGUUUAUUUGUAGAUCCCAAUAUUUAUGAUUGUGUGGAUCUAGGUGAAGUUUGAAGUUCCUGGGUAUGCAAGAUUCGAUGGUGAAACAGGUUGUUGUGAUGUGAAUGAAUGUAUGGAAGCUGGUUGUUGUGAUGUGAAUGAGUGUAUGUAGUUUCACGUGUUUUGUUCUGUAUAGCAUAUUGUAAUAAACUUAUUUUAGCUAUUAUUUGAAGAUUUUCA